Molecule: ribosomal RNA, 253 nt
Filed under: uncultured bacterium
Lineage: Bacteria
Description: partial 16S ribosomal RNA
Rfam family: Bacterial small subunit ribosomal RNA
Source: RNAcentral
UACGUAGAGGGCGAGCGUUGUCCGGAUUUAUUGGGCGUAAAGAGCUCGUAGGCGGUUCCGCAAGUCGGAUAUGAAAUCUCCACGCUCAACGUGGAGGGGUUAUUCGAUACUGCAGGGCUAGAAUCCGGAAGAGGCGAGUGGAAUUCCUGGUGUAGCGGUGAAAUGCGCAGAUAUCAGGAGGAACACCAAUGGCGAAGGCAGCUCGCUGGGACGGUAUUGACGCUGAGACGCGAAAGCGUGGGGAGCAAACAGG